CCUCUAGCAGCCACAGCCACAAUGACUCCACUGGUUCUUCUUUGUUUCCUCAUAUUUUGUUUUCAGGACUCAAGAUGUCAGAUUUCUGUGACUCAACCAUCAGCACCAAAGUCAGUUCCCCCUGGAGGGAGCGUCACCUUCAGCUGUACCACUGGGAGUAAUGUGGGUAGCUCCAUGUACUGGUACCAGCAGAGACCUGGAGAACGUCCUAAACUCCUAAUCUAUAGUGCAAGCACUCGCUAUGGUGACACCCCGAGUCGCUUCAGUGGCAGCGGGUCAGGAACUUCAUUCAGUUUGACUAUCAGUGGAGUCCAGCCUGAAGACGCCGGUCACUACUACUGUCAGCAGUAUAGCAGCUAUCCUAUCACACAGUGACAGAGACUCAUGCAAAAACCUCACUGAGUUGUUUUCAUGUCUGCAGGUGUGAAACUAAAAGA
This is a non-coding RNA of Polypterus senegalus (gray bichir), 437 nucleotides long. NCBI's taxonomy places the organism in Eukaryota, Metazoa, Chordata, Cladistia, Polypteriformes, Polypteridae. The record is from the annotation of a RefSeq genome assembly.